UACGGAGGGUGCAAGCGUUAUCCGGAAUCAUUGGGUUUAAAGGGUCCGCAGGCGGAUCUGUAAGUCAGUGGUGAAAGCCCAUAGCUCAACUAUGGAACUGCCAUUGAUACUGCAGGUCUUGAAUUCGGUCGAAGUGGGCGGAAUAUGACAUGUAGCGGUGAAAUGCUUAGAUAUGUCAUAGAACACCGAUAGCGAAGGCAGCUCACUAGGCCUGGAUUGACGCUCAGGGACGAAAGCGUGGGGAGCAAAC
RNAcentral lists this ribosomal RNA (250 nucleotides) under uncultured bacterium. RNAcentral describes it as "partial 16S ribosomal RNA". It matches the Rfam family "Bacterial small subunit ribosomal RNA", at positions 524 to 773 of the family's 1533-position model. The record is from RNAcentral.